RNAcentral lists this signal recognition particle RNA (148 nucleotides) under Gorilla gorilla gorilla (western lowland gorilla). RNAcentral's name for it is "Metazoan signal recognition particle RNA". It matches the Rfam family "Metazoan signal recognition particle RNA". Rfam says of the family: The signal recognition particle (SRP) is a universally conserved ribonucleoprotein. Lineage: Eukaryota; Metazoa; Chordata; Mammalia; Primates; Hominidae. The record is from Rfam by way of RNAcentral.
GCCAGGUGUGGUGGUGCACACCUGUAAUCCCAGCUAUUCAGGAGGCUGAGGCAGGAGAAUUGCUUGAACCCAGGAGGCGGAGGUUGCAGUGAGCUGAGAUCAUGCCACUGCACUCCAGCCUGGGUAACAGAGCGAGACUCUGUCUCAG